AGCGAACGCUGGCGGCAGGCCUAACACAUGCAAGUCGAGCGCCCAGCAAUGGGAGCGGCAGACGGGAUAGUAACACGUGGGAACGUACCCUUCAGUUCGGAACAACCCAGGGAAACUUGGGCUAAUACCGAAUACGUCCGUAAGGAGAAAGAUUUAUCGCUGAAGGAUCGGCCCGCGUCUGAUUAGCUAGCUGGUGAGGUAACGGCUCACCAAGGCGACGAUCAGUAGCNGGUCUGAGAGGAUGAUCAGCAUCACUGGGACUGAGACACGGCCCAGACUCCUACGGGAGGCAGCAGUGGGGAAUAUUGGACAAUGGGCGCAAGCCUGAUCCAGCCAUGCCGCGUGGAUGAUGAAGGCCCUAGGGUUGUAAAGUCCUUUCGACGGGGAAGAUAAUGACGGUACCCGUAGAAGAAGCCCCGGCUAACUUCGUGCCAGCCGCCGCCGUAAU
RNAcentral lists this ribosomal RNA (448 nucleotides) under uncultured bacterium. RNAcentral's name for it is "bacterial SSU rRNA". It matches the Rfam family "Bacterial small subunit ribosomal RNA", at positions 29 to 524 of the family's 1533-position model. The record is from RNAcentral.